AGAUUGAACGCUAGCGGGAUGCUUUACACAUGCAAGUCGAACGGCAGCGCGGACUUCGGUCUGGCGGCGAGUGGCGAACGGGUGAGUAAUAUAUCGGAGCGUGCCCAGUAGCGGGGGAUAACUACGCGAAAGCGUGGCUAAUACCGCAUACGCCCUACGGGGGAAAGGGGGGAUCGGCAAGACCUCUCACUAUUGGAGCGGCCGAUAUCAGAUUAGCUAGUUGGUGAGGUAAAGGCUCACCAAGGCGACGAUCUGUAGCUGGUUUGAGAGGACGACCAGCCACACUGGGACUGAGACACGGUCCCAGACUCCGUACGGGAGCAGCAGU
Molecule: ribosomal RNA, 328 nt
Filed under: uncultured soil bacterium
Lineage: Bacteria
Description: bacterial SSU rRNA
Rfam family: Bacterial small subunit ribosomal RNA
Source: RNAcentral